AUAUCAUUUUCUUGGUUAAGCUAUAAAAAUUUUAAAAUAAAUCUUCAUUUAAGUAAAUCUUUUUGAUUUAACGCAAUAUGAUCUCAUUUUCGUUUGGAACUAUAGAUAUUGUCACAACAAGAAUAUUCUUUUUUUUCUGUGUAGAUUGAAGCAUUUUAGUUUUUUAAGAUCUUGCGGUCGAACUUUUUUUGUCUUGAAGAGGGAUCGCAUUAUGCUUGCGCGGAGAUGUGUUAUCGGAUUUUAAAUCUGUCCGGGUGGAAGUUUUGCGCGAAAACGAAGAGACAUGACAAUUUGUCGAUAUGUACGAAGAGAUUUCUGAAAUGGAAAACUAUUGAGUUACAAAACUGUCGCGGCAAUUUCUGCCGUUAUACAGUCGUCUGUCACAGCGCCGUCGUGUUUUGCGCAAUAAAUUCUAAAUUUUUUGUUUCGAUCUCACCUGGACUAUUCGGUGUUCGGUUCAUUUGGUAAUGCUUGCGAAUUGACGGCUAAUCCGAAAAUAUUGAUGUUUUGUCGAUAACGACUGAUAACUCGAGAGGUAACACGCGUCAGUCAUACGUUUACAUACGUUUUAUUAUAUAUUUGUUACGAAGUAACAAAUAAUCCGAAUAGCUCGGAUGACAAUGUCGAUGGGAUAUCGCUGUGACUUUCCUUCGAUUACAAUGCUUAUUUCCCGCCGUCGACUGACGGCUUCAGUUAUUAACAGCUGACCACGGUUAACAUCGUCGCCGUCAAUUGUCAUCGUAUCCGAUGGGAGUGACAGUUGACAGCUUAAUGGAAUUUCCGAGUAGGCCCGCAAUCACGCGGCCGAAUUUGCGUCUCCCUUUCAGCGUCUCCCGGCGAAGUCUUGCAUUAUUGCUGUAUCAUUAUACCAUUGAUCCGUUACGAGAUUACCCGGUCGAGCGAAAGGGCAUUUUCAUACGAGUCUCAAAGGAAGAAGGAAAAACGCUGAUGGAGGUCCGAUAUUACAACGUUAAAGGCAGAAGGGCGAGGGGGGAGGAGGGGAAAGCUAAUUGUCACGCACCUAACACUGAGGGGGUCACGUAAGGGUUCAUUAGCCGCUUUACACAAGAUUGUAAUAUCAUCUGAUAAGGGGGGUUUAUUCGAAACUUUCGAUGGACAAAGAAAAAGUUUUUGACCCCUCUAAACGGGGGAGUCACCCGAGGAAGCAAAUAAUAACGCGAGUAAUAAGACGAAAGGCGAGAUGACUGUUCAGUUGAUAAUUAUAUCCCGAAGCUAUUCCGUGCUAUCGUCGGAGUACAUCGCCUUUAACUCGUUAUACUCGUACAUUCUCGUCGCUCUUAUUUCGCGAUUAAAGGAAGAAAAAAUAUUUUUAUAUCGACACGGAGACUACGUGCCCCUCCGUUCGUCAAAUGAUAUCGCGUUAUUAAUCCGUUCGCGCCGAUCACACGUCGGCGGUCGUCGGAAUCGUUUUUCCGCAUCGUGCGUGCGUGCGAGCGUGAGUGCGCGCGCGCGCUAACACACUUUCGACCACUUUGUUACGCUUUAUAUCACUUAACGCAUCGCGGCCCUCCCGUUCGCUCUCGCACCGCAUGGAUUUCCACCAGGGAACGAAAAAUCGACACGUCCGGUGUAAGUAUAUCGCACACGUGGGCGCAGUUACGAAAGACGUGAGCGCGAGACUUACCCCCCUUCCUCUCCCCCCUCCGGAAGGGAAACUUUCUUCAUUUUUCGUCCGAAACCUCGAUCGAGCUCGGGGAGAAGUUUCUCUUCCCUUCUCCCCCUGCCCCCUGAAAUAUCGCGGGAAUCAAUCGCCGGCGCGAGUGGCCGCGAUCGCGGCCCUAUUUUCCACGCUUUUCCCGGCACUCCGGAGAAAAGUAAUGGGUUAGUUUAGCCAAGUCGUCAAGCGUGCUGCCGUUUACGCCCGUUGCAGUAACGUUGGGAGUGGCUUUUGAUCUUCUCGGCUGAGCGAAGCGUUUUCCGCUUUAAUCUUCUUAAGCUUUCCCCGCGCGCAUUGAAUGUAAUCUAAUUUGUCCUUGGCAAAUAGCUUAAUUAAUAAUCGAGAAAAGGUUGAGGUAGGAGAAUGAAUUUUCGAGUUGUAUCUCUCUUGAAACGCGUUUCUCUUACGUGCGUAAACGAAAAAAGCCACCGUUGCGUCUAAUUACACUGUGCAUCAAAAAAAAAAUUAUUAGAACGAAUUAAAUAAAUCAUGAAAAAAAUGAAUGCAUAUUCAUCGUUGCAAAUUAGAUUGUUUUAAGUGUCAAAUUUAUAAAACCAAAAAUUUGCAUCAUAUGCAUUACUUUUUGUUGAUUAUACCUUAGUAAAAUAUUCCGGGAAACACGACGGAAUCACUUUCGAGCCGCUCUGAUGUGAGUCUCUCUUACUUCUUAUUUUUACAAUUUUUGAUAAAUUUUUCUCCCAAAACGAGGUGAGGGGGAAUUUGAGAAAUUUGGGUGAUUCCAUCAAGCAAUAGUUCGGAAAAUUUUAUUGGGCAUUUGCCUUGAUUUCAACAUUCUAUAUUCCGUUUCUGUGACGCUAUAUUUUUUACCGAAGAACUAGAAAGAGUUAAAAAUUUUUAAUUUCGUUUAAAUGAGAUUCAGAUAGAGCAAAAUCGAUGUAGUCUGAUACUUUGGGCUCCUUCAUUUAUCACCCUCAACCUUCAGAAUUGAAAUUGCGCAUCAAUAAUUGUUUUAUGUUAGCAAUUAGCGCGACACGUAAGCUUUGCAUUCAUAUAUAGCAGCGCGCAAAAUAACCAACUUUUGAUUCUAAUUGAAACUGUUUGACUUUUACAUUGAAAUCUCAUCUGUUCCAGCAAACGCGAUAAGCAGAUUCGCAAUCCUGUAAUCCGCGCAACAUCGAGCGCAAACAGUUUGAUAGAUUCGCAGAAUAUACAAACACACACGGUUGAUCCACCACGGUAGAUAUUACCGAAGCCGAUUAGACUUCCUCCGCGUUGAUUUCGCACGCUGAAUAUCCUCUCAUUCAUUCUUAAUAGAGUUUAAUUCAUAUACUAGAAGUUAUUAAAUGAUAAUAGGUAAGAAUUCAAGACUUAUUUGAUCAAAUGUCACAUGAAAUAAUUAUAAGCUCAAGCAAGAAUUUAGACUAUAAGUAAUAAUACGAUAAGAAUUUUAAAUGUAUAUUUUCUAAAUCAAAGUCAAUGUUUUAAUAUUGAAGGAGUAGUGCACAUAUCGCUGAAUGAUGUAGUUAUGAGUAUAGCACUGAAAUCAGGUCAUAUUUAUUAUCGUUCAGUGAAUAAUACAAUAAUUUUGAUUUAGAGAGUAAUGCAAAUAAAAUAAAAUUUUGAUCUCCAUGAAUGAAAAUCGAAAUGUUUGUACUAUAUAUUUAAAAUACUUGUCACAUUAUUUAAUUAUAGCAUUAAAAUCUUGUUUGGCUCGUAGUCCAUUAUUGUUUUAUGUGACAAAUAACGAACACAAUAGAACGAGCGAGAAUAAUAACGGAGAAUAAAACAAGAUUACGGCAGGAAAUAAAUUUCAAACAAUACACGGGACGUGUCCGAUGAACUCGUGUCGCAACUUUCGAUUCUUUCCACCUUAUGCCGUAGGAUAUUUUCAACCGGCGCGAAUUUAAGAUCUCACGGGAGAUUUACAAUGAUCCCCGUAACUAAACUCCCAUCAGGUGCCCUGUAGACGCGCGGUAGUUAUCGACAAUAUCGGAUAUUCCGAUGAAGAUUCCGAUGUUACAUGGAUAAGCUUACCGAAUUGAUCAGCCAACUGUGAUCCAAUUGAUCAUGGACCCACAGUGGACACGUCCAGUUCGUCCUCCAUAACCGAGUGAGACCUACACACACCCGAGACCGACACGUAUCCAUUGAUCUAGAUUCGAAACACAAAUUCUCAAUGGAACCAAGCAUUGUAAUGCCGCGAAUUUUCGCAACAAUGUGCUCGUAGUUCGGGUGUGCGGAUUUAUGAAAAAAAAAAAAAAAAAAAAAAAGUUGAAAGUUUCGCGAUCAACGCUGACGCUAAUAGGCACGCUAAUAAAUAAAACUAACGUCUCGUCGCAGUGUAAACGUCACCUCGCGCGCGGCGAACGAAAAUAUUUUUAUCCGUGUACGCAGAAUGCAAUUUACAUUUACAUCGCGCGACGCUUCACAAUUUUUAUGGAGCGGCAUGCAUUUUGCUGGUACGCGCGAUAAAGCGAUACUCUUGUUUACGCAAAAUAAAGUGCACUUACAGAAAAUACAGCGCGUUCUUAUCACGAAAGUAUUUCCGGAGAAAGAGAAAGAGAAAGAGGAAGAGAGAGGGAGAGAGAGAGAGAGAAACCAAGCAUCCCUAUUUAUUAUUUAUCGUUGUUUAUUCUGGGACAGAAAUGUGUGUUUUGAUCGAUACACUUUUAUGACGCAGUCACAACCGAUUUGUUGUUCUCCGGUAUAAUAAUAUACACGCGGAAACUUGCGUUCUACGAAAGAGGAACAAAUCAAUAUAAUAUGUCAUUUACCUUGCUGCGUAAAUAUCUUAAAUCUAGCGAAUGUAGGCUCCUCCCAGCAAUGGCGCACAACUAGUUUUAAUAAUGCAAACCGCGUAUUCUUUGUAUAACUUCAAUUUACUCGAACAGCCGCAUAUCGCGUUAUUAGAGUUACCCUUUACGAGCUUUUCUGCGGCUCGGCGUUUGGAGAAAUAUGACAAAGCAAGCAGACAAAAUCUUGUGCUUCGUUUAUAACAUUACGGCUCUUAUGUAUUCCGUGUAAUGUAUCCUCUUCAGUACGUGCGCUACAUAGGAACCUCGUCUGCUUGGCAGGUAUGUGGCGUUCCAUGUACAUAUACGUAUACGUUCUCGGAUGAGGAAACAGAAAGUCGGGAGUACUUCGCCCGGCGUUUCCCUUCCGCCGAGAAUCUUGCGGGAGCGCGCGUCGCUGUCGAAUGCAAAAAAAGAGGCGAAUGAAGAAUAGCGUCUGCGUGCACCACGCGUGAAAUUGUUCCGUGAUAAAAUAGUCCCCUCUCCCCUCCCCCUCUCUGCCUCCUCUCUCUCUCUCUCCACCUUCGCCUCUCCUCACGUACAUUCGACAUUAUGUUUAUGAACCGCGCAUAAAGUGCGCGUGAUAAAGUGUACGAAUUACUGGCAGUUGCGCCCAAACACGCUCAAUCGUUCUAAAAUGCGUGAUAUUACGCGCCCGUCGAAUAUUUAUGCACCUUUAAAUUUAACCGCAUUUACAACGCCGCCAUUUGUCGAGAAUUUAUCGCGCGCGUUAAGGUAUUCCCGUUUCCGUUGUUUUUGGAUUGUAAAUGCUUCAUUCCCGGUUUGGCCUCUCGUGUAACAGCAGUGCCAACGGAAGUCGAGCCACCGUUACAAUGCCGCGAGACUGAAAAUGUACACAAAUCGCA
Molecule: long non-coding RNA, 5297 nt
Filed under: Monomorium pharaonis (pharaoh ant)
Lineage: Eukaryota; Metazoa; Arthropoda; Insecta; Hymenoptera; Formicidae
Description: uncharacterized LOC118647379
Source: RNAcentral